This 460-nucleotide ribosomal RNA is filed under the name uncultured bacterium. Its description in RNAcentral is "partial 16S ribosomal RNA". It matches the Rfam family "Bacterial small subunit ribosomal RNA", at positions 338 to 795 of the family's 1533-position model. The record is from RNAcentral.
CCUACGGGUGGCAGCAGUGAGGAAUAUUGGUCAAUGGCCGUAAGGCUGAACCAGCCAAGUAGCGUGAGGGAAGACGGCCCUAUGGGUUGUAAACCUCUUUUAUGCGGGGAUAAAGGUGUCCACGUGUGGAUGUUUGCAGGUACCGCAUGAAUAAGGAACGGCUAAUUCCGUGCCAGCAGCCGCGGUAAUCCGGAAGGUCCGGGCGUUAUCCGGAUUUAGUGGGUUUAAAGGGAACGUAGGACGGUCUUUAAGCGUGCCGUGAAAUUUUGUGGCUCAACCAGGAGAGUGCGGCGCGAACUGGAGACCGUGAGUGCGCGGAAGGCAGGCGGAAUUCGCGGUGUAGCGGUGAAAUGCUUAGAGAUCGCGAAGAACCCCGAUUGCGAAGGCAGCCUGCCGCAGCGUUACUGACGCUGAAGCUCGAAAGCGCGGGUAUCGAACAGGAUUAGAUACCCGAGUAGUC